UGCUACCCUUCAGGAGACCCGACGAGACGCGCCGUACCGGGCCGAGAAAAGACGACGCACC
RNAcentral lists this non-coding RNA (61 nucleotides) under Streptomyces oceani. Lineage: Bacteria; Bacillati; Actinomycetota; Actinomycetes; Kitasatosporales; Streptomycetaceae. The record is from RNAcentral.